CCGAAAUUUAAAACUCACAACGCGAGUCUCGUGCGGAAGCAAAUAUGACUGCCGAGACUUCGUGACUCUUCAAGUCUUCCUUUGCUCAAGUCAAACCACACUCGUGAAGCACAUGUGACGAGUCUGUGGUGAGCAUCGGGAGCACUGCGUUUCCUUCGGGAUUCACAGUCUAAAAAACGAAUUGUAAAAGUAUAUAUAAACAAAAAAAGACGAAAAAAC
Molecule: unclassified non-coding RNA, 219 nt
Filed under: soil metagenome
Description: partial internal transcribed spacer 1
Source: RNAcentral